ACAAGCAAUACUUAACUUACAAUUACAAGUUGAAAAGUUAAGGACAAUAGGUCCUUAACUUUGACUUACAAGUUCAAAAGUUAAGGACGCUUGGUCUUGAAGUUUGAG
This is a small RNA of Nicotiana attenuata, 108 nucleotides long. It matches the Rfam family "Enterobacterial sRNA STnc70". NCBI's taxonomy places the organism in Eukaryota, Viridiplantae, Streptophyta, Magnoliopsida, Solanales, Solanaceae. The record is from Rfam.